CCUACGGGUGGCAGCAGUGAGGAAUAUUGGUCAAUGGACGGGAGUCUGAACCAGCCAAGCCGCGUGAAGGAUGACUGCCCUAUGGGUUGUAAACUGCUUUUGUAUGGGGAUAAACCUGGAUAUGUAUACUCUCUUGUAAGUACUGUAUGAAUAAGGAUCGGCUAACUCCGUGCCAGCAGCCGCGGUAAUACGGAGGAUCCAAGCGUUAUCCGGAUUUAUUGGGUUUAAAGGGAGCGUAGGUGGAUUGUUAAGUCAGUUGUGAAAGUUCCGGGCUUAACCCGGGAACUGCCGUUGAAACUGGCAAUCUAGAGUGUAGGAGCGGUAGGCGGAAUUUGUGGUGUAGCGGUGAAAUGCUUAGAUAUCACAAAGAACACCGAUUGCGAAGGCAGCUCACCAGACUAUAACUGACGCUGAGGCACGAAAGUGUGGGUAGCAAACAGGAUUAGAUACCCGGGUAGUC
This 460-nucleotide ribosomal RNA is filed under the name uncultured bacterium. RNAcentral describes it as "partial 16S ribosomal RNA". It matches the Rfam family "Bacterial small subunit ribosomal RNA", at positions 338 to 795 of the family's 1533-position model. The record is from RNAcentral.